RNAcentral lists this small RNA (637 nucleotides) under Oryza sativa Japonica Group (Japanese rice). Its description in RNAcentral is "sRNA Os03g0155400". Lineage: Eukaryota; Viridiplantae; Streptophyta; Magnoliopsida; Poales; Poaceae. The record is from RNAcentral.
ACGGCGGCGGCGGCUCAUGCGCCGCCGCGCGCGCGCGCGAGCCGCUAGCUAGUAGAACUGCACGCCGCUGGUGAAUGUCUGGCCGAACUGCCAGUUGGACGGCGCGACGUCCUCGAAGACGAGCGUCUUGCCGGCGGUGGAGGUGACCGAGAAGGAGAUGGCCUGGUUGUUGAGGUAGUUGUUGGCUUGCCAGUUGGCGCCCCAGUUCCGGGACAUGGUCACCCACCCCGUCUUUGUUCCCUUGAUCUGCACCGACUUGAUCGACCCCGGCCCGCCCACGUUGGUGAUCAGCACCAGCUCGAAGUAGCUGUUCCCGUUGAUGGUGAACCUCACCCCUCCUUUCCUCGUGCACGACACCCUGCGGAAAUUGACGGGGACGAUACCGCCGCGGUAGACGCCGAUCUGUUCCCAGGCGGGUUGCGCCAUGUCGAAGUGCUGGCGCGGCGGGUUGCACCAGCCGCCGUCGUUGCUCGGCUUGGAGUAGUCCGGUGGGCAGAGGUUGGUCGCGGUGAUGGUCACCGACGUGCCCGCCUUGCACCACUUCGAGUUGGACUGGUCGCACGUGAUCUGGUAGCACUCGCCGCACGCCGCGCCGUCGUUGAACAGCGCCGAGCUCAGCGCCGCCGUGUUCGUCCCG